Molecule: antisense RNA, 5672 nt
Filed under: Pan troglodytes (chimpanzee)
Lineage: Eukaryota; Metazoa; Chordata; Mammalia; Primates; Hominidae
Rfam family: Taurine upregulated gene 1 conserved region 3 (bases 717-953)
Source: RNAcentral
AAAAUGUUUGAACAAUUGGAUUUCAAACAUUUUCGUUUUGUGGAGUGGUGCUCACCAAGUGGUACAGCCCUAAGCAAGUGAACACAAACACAUUUAAGUGUAUUUUGUCUGAUUAGAUGUUAGCCAGUUAUGCUGUUUCAUUCAAAUGUCUGAAAAAAUCAAUUGACUAUUCCCUUUUCCUAAAGGGCAGAGACAGAUAAUCUCACUUCCAGAGAAAUGACUUGGAGAAAAAAAAGUGUUGGUCUUUUUGCUCUUUUGUAAUUAAAUCCGGAUGUACCUCAAAAGACUUAAGACUGUGGUGAUAAGAUGCUUUCCUCAGCAGAAAGGAGGGAAAAAAAACAACUGGAACUCAAAGCUUGAAAUUCUGUGGCAAAACAUGAGAUGUCCAGGAUUGGAGGUUGAAAAGAUUUCACUACAGUGUUCUGCAAUAGUUGGAGCAGAUAACUUCCAGUGUAGCCACAGCCAUGGACUCCAGAUUUCCAGAUUUUCAAGAACUGGACCUGGAACCCGAAAGAGCUUGUCAGGAUGCGGCAGGAACACUGGAGGUAGAUUUUUUUUUAUUUUUGAAUUUGGGGACUGUUGACCUUGCUGUGAGAAAAGAGACAACGACUGAGCAAGCACUACCACCAGCACUGUUACUGGGAAUUAGAAGACCUGAGUUUCUGUCCAGACCCUCAGUGCAAACUGAGGAUGCUCCAUCCAAAGUGAAUUAUGUCCUGUGCCUCCUGAUUGCUGAGUGUUCACCUGGACCUUCUGACUACCUUCCCUGUGCUAUUCCAUCAGCCUACAGACCUGGUACCUGGAUUUUUGCCCGAGAUGAUUCCUACCACCUUACUACUGAAGAAGACACCCAUUCCAGUGGACCACUGUGACCCAGGAGGCAUUCAGCCAUCAUGAUGUGGCCUUUACCUCCACUCCUGUCUUGUUCUACCCAGAUUCAGCACAGCCCUUUAUAGUGAAGUCAGAGUCCUCAAGCCAAAUAGCUAAAGCUGUUUUAUCACAACAAAGGCCUAGUUUGUUCCAUGAGUGUGCAUUUCAUUUCUUCAGUUAAAGCCUUCAGAGACACACAAUAAAUUUGGACCAGGGGAUUUUUUAGUUAUUAAUGCUCUCUGAAGAAAGGCAACAUCUUUUUGAGAGCAGCAUUGGACCACACCCCACAAUCUCAAAUGAUUGAAAUUCAUGAACAUCUAGGAUCCCGUGAAGGUCACUGGACCCUGUUUUUUCUACUUCAAAUCCUGUAGUAGCCUACUGAAUGAGAAAACAUAUUCUGACCCAUUGGGAUCAAAUCAAAGGCACAGUGAACUCCUCAUAGCAUCUUCUUUGGAAUUACUCAGGAACCAGAACUUUUUACACAAAUGUAAGAAAUUCUACCAAGGAGUCCCCUUACCUAACAGCAUCUCACAAGGCUGCACCAGAUUCCAGAAGAGGCUUCUCUUGAUACAUCAAGCAUUUUGUGACCGACUUAUUCUUAGAUCAUUGGUUUUCCAAAGGCUUUGUGGCCAUGAAGCCCUUUGAGUGAAAACUGUGCAGAAGCCCAGAGUAAAAGUGAAGCUGCUCUGGAUGAAGUAGUGAAGCAAGAGUAGGGGCCUGAAUCCUGCUACAACUAUCUUCCUUUACCACCGUGGUGACACCUAAGGGGACUUCCUUACAACACCUUGAACUCUUCCGAACACAGUUUGAAAACCACUGCCCCAGACAGCAAUAUGUUUGACCUGAAUGGCAUUCCAAUCUUUUCUGUACCUCCACUCAGCACAGUUCAUGUUCAGUAGAUGCUGAACAUUCUUAGAAAUACUGUGUGUGAACUUAGAAAAGUGCAAGAAGACAGGCAUGUCUUUGACCCCAGAAAUGAUCAUGGGCUGAAGAUGGUGUCAAGUGAACCUAGAUUAACAGCCCUCCACUCCAGAUGGAUAUCCAGUGAUUCCUAGAAUGGGAUAUAGCCAGAGAACAAUUCUAUGCACCCUACACUGACAGACUCCCUUAAGCAACACCAGAUGCUCUACUGGUACUUGAAGUACAUGACUUUGAAGUCUUGACCCUCCAUGAAUACCUGAAUUAUCAGCAAGCGGGUUUUGAAGCUGGUGCCUCAUUGAGGCCAUAUUAGAGCAACUUGUACAUUUGACCUCUUGUUAUCAGCCAUGGUACUCUACUUCGUGUGCAAGAGAUAACUAUGAAAGCCAAAUUCAAAUACUGGCAACAUUUCCUAAAGGGGCUCAAUAUCUAUCAUUCAUCUUCUUUUCCAAACUACACAUCACUGUAUGACUCAACCAGUAGCAGUUAUAUUGCCCCUUGGUUUUUAUUCAGUUUAACUACUGUUUCCAAGAUAAAUGAGCUAAUAAGCUUUAAAAAAAAAAAAAAAGGCUGAAUUCUUUUUUCUUCGUCACUGGCAUAUCUGCCUAUUCUCCAGAAUUACGACUAUUCAGCUCACUUUAACAGUUGAACUUCAAGCGACAAUCUUUGAACACCCCUUCUCAUGUGAUUUAAAAUGAAACCAUUUGGAAAAGUUUCUUCUAGCCAGUAAUAGAUUUUUUUUUUAAUUGCUCUGCCUUGUGCCGAGAGAUGUUCUUUUAAGAUGAAUCUUUUGAUGUCUGAUACCACCAAAUAUAGGUGGUAGGGAGAGUUGGAGGCUGGCCCUUUGAGCAGGCCAUUAGCUUACUUGCUGGGCAUUUCCGAUAGCUUAUUGCCUACCUUUUUGCUGGAAACAAACUGAUUUGAAAAACAAAAUCUAUGAAGACUGCAGCUAAGGAUUUUAUCGGUAGACUUAAGAGCUUUUGUCCUUGUGGAUAUUUUAGUGGAACCACAUCAGUCUCAAUACCGUCAUUUUACACUGACUCAGAGCAGCUGACUUCAUUCCUUGCCAUGAUAUAUAUUUAAGGCAGGCAUUGUAACAGACAUAAAGACAACUUAUCUGUUUCAGCAGGAAGGAUUCAGUUUAUGAACUCUCAGACCAGAUCACGUUGAACAAGGAGACUUUGAUGUGUGUCAUGAGAAAACUCAUUCUUUACUUCCCAGUCAAUUUAAAGGCCAGCUAUCCUGAGCUACUCGAAUGGAUGCACUGGUUAAACAUUGGAAAUAGUUUGUUUAUAUCCUUGUCUCUCUCUAGGCCAAUUGUGAUUACAUGACUCGACUCUACAUCUCGUCAAACAAGGCCUAGGUCUGGUUGCUGUAGACUGCUCGCCCUCAACAAAUAAAAUCUGGUUGACUAGCCUCCUUGUAUAUACAACUAUUAUUUGUUAAGAAGAAAUUAUCGUCAAUUUUCUACUACCUUCCAAUUGUCAGCUCUUUUUUUCCUCUCUGGUUUUUCCUAUACUUUACAGAAAAAGACAUUGAUCUAUACUGCCAUUCCCUCUAAUCCUGCCAUACUCAGUCAAAAGGAAUGACUUAAGAUGAAGAUGAUCAUCUGCUCAAGUCUAAAAUAUACAUUGUAUAUAAGAAUUGGUGAUUAGAAAAGCAAAAAACCUAAAACUUAAAUCUAGGAGUCUGUAUACUGUCUCCAUGUCUCCAUGCCUCAGAUCUCAUCUAAAUCUUUGAACAGCACCAUUCAACCAAUCUGAGGCCUUGACUUGCUUGUAAGAUGAUUCUCAGAGAUCGGCUGAGUUAAAAAAGAUGACGACUUGAUUACCAAAGAAAGUAGGGCCAACUUUGACAAAUCUGGCUCUGCUGACCCUGUCACUCCCAGAUGUAGCAUAGACUCCUAAACAGAACCUCAAGUCUGAUUGAGGAUAAGGCCUUCUCCUGUGCUGAAAGUUCUUUGGCAGAUGAGCAAGAAACUGAAAGCUGAUGUACCUGACUGGCUCUGUAAGAUCAGAAAACUAUAUCCAGAACAAGCCCUAUGGAUUAACCCCUGAGUACCCAGAGUAAAAACUAAUUUACAGAACUUCCUUAUUGAUCUGCUGAUUCUUCCAGAUCAUAUUCUGGCUAUUGGUAUGGCUGGCCUUUCUGAAGGUACCCUGCUUGUCUAUUUUCCUGACUCAGCUCUUGCCUGCCUUUUUCACAUGUUGCUGCAAUUAGACUCACCGUGAGAAGACUACAGUCAAUUUCAGUCUAUCUUGUGCCCAAUACAACAAGGAUUUUUAAUAGUAACAACCCACACCUCACCCACUAGGACUCAAUGUUCACAACAGGAAGGACCAUUGCUGCAUACUCCUUGACCAGCAACUUUUUUAAAGAUAUUUUUAAGUGCAGAGUAGGCCUCUAUUCCUGUAUGUAAUUGUUCAUUUUCAGCACCUGGAACCUCAUCUAUCGGGUCUGGAAGGAACACAGCAGUUCGAAAGCCGCGUCCAUUUCUCUCCUUCAGUAGUGCAGAAAUGAGUCCGAUUCACCAGUACACACAGAACUGUACCAGUUCAACCUAGCAAAAGAAGAAAAGUUUCCACUGUACUUAAAAUUUACAGCUGACUCAAAUUGCCUCACAGAAUUAUUUGAUGUAGAAGGCUAGUUGUCUUACUUCAGAUCAGCAGGACAGUUGGGCUCUCAGACUCAUGACCACUGAGUUUGCUUGUAUUGAAACUGUGGUUUCAUCCAACGUAUGCUAUUGGACAUGAUUAUUAUUCCAUUCAAAUGGAUUACAGACUUCUUGAGGACAGGACAAACUUAUCUCUCAUGGUGUUUUUUUAGAAUACUUUUAUAACCAAGGAAGAAACCAUGCCAGCUGUUACCAUUCAACUUCUUAAGCAAAGAUUAAGCUUUUUCAUAUCUGUUCUUAUCCUGGACAUCAGUAGUUUUUAAUUGCCCAGCAUCCGUUCCAUCUUGUUGUAACAACUCCCUGAUGUUUCUUAAAACCACCUCUUCCUAUUUUCAGUCUGUGGUUUGGACAGUCUGACCCAACCUUGAGCUUUGUGGGUGAAAAUGUAAUUCAGACCUCAUCAAUCAGCAAAUCCAUCUGAACUGUGGAGGAGAAGCUCUCUUUACUGAGGGUGCUUUAGCUUUGUAGGAUGAAAACCUCAAACCAACAGGGCCUACCAUGUAGAGAAUGAAGCCAGUGCAGGGGAAAGCAGAGCCAAAAUAUGGAGAGACUUGAAUCCUGAUGACAGCGUUUGUGCCCCUGGAUCCAACCGUGCCUGAAGCUAGAAUAUCCCCUGGACUUUUCAGUUAUGUGAACCAAUAAAUACCCUUUUUUGCUUAAGUUACUUUGAGUUGGGUUUCUGUUACUUGAAAUUGAAUCCACACUAAUAUAUCUACCAACAUUGAGACUUGACAGAUCCAAGUAUUUAUUAAGCUGGAGGUCAUGGUCACUGAAAUUACUUUCCAAAGUGGAAGACAAAAUGAAACAGGAACUGAGAGAAUAUUUAAGAUCCCACAGAAGCAUAAAAAUGACAUGGUAGAAAGUAAUAGAAAACCUAAAUGUCUGUCAUUAAAGGAUAGGUUAAGGUGUGGUUCAGCCAUAUAGGAAAAUCUCGUAUCUGUUAAAAUGAAUAAAGUGCAUUCAUUGUGUAUGGAAAAAUGGCCAUGAUACAUUAGGUGAAACAAGUUAUUAAUAGAAAAGUGUACAGUGUGAACUCAUUUUAAAAUGUGUGUGCUUAUGUUUAUAAAUGCAUAGAAAGGUCUAUUCACAGCUUUCUUUGAACAGUGUAGAUCACAUGAAACUUUCAACUUUAUACAUUUCUGUAUUAAUAUUUUACACUACCCACAUUAUUUUUAAACUUUAUUUUAAAUAAAGAAUUUUUUAAAUUAAA